GACGAACGCUGGCGGCGUGCUUAACACAUGCAAGUCGAACGGUAAGGCCCUUCGGGGUACACGAGUGGCGAACGGGUGAGUAACGCGUGAGUAACCUGCCCUUGACUCUGGGAUAACAGAUGGAAACGUCUGCUAAUACCGGAUACUCAGCCUUGUGGGCAUCCGCAGGGUUGGAAAGCUCCGGCGGUCAAGGAUGGACUCGCGUCCUAUCAGCUAGUUGGUGGGGUAACGGCCUACCAAGGCGACGACGGGUAGCCGGCCUGAGAGGGCGACCGGCCACAUUGGGACUGAGAUACGGCCCAGACUCCUACGGGAGGCAGCAGUGGGGAAUAUUGCACAAUGGGCGAAAGCCUGAUGCAGCAACGCCGCGUGCGGGAUGACGGCCUUCGGGUUGUAAACCGCUUUCAGCAGGGACGAAGCGCAAGUGACGGUACCUGCAGAAGAAGCACCGGCUAACUACGUG
Molecule: ribosomal RNA, 463 nt
Filed under: uncultured bacterium
Lineage: Bacteria
Description: bacterial SSU rRNA
Rfam family: Bacterial small subunit ribosomal RNA
Source: RNAcentral